RNAcentral lists this ribosomal RNA (933 nucleotides) under uncultured Acidobacteriota bacterium. RNAcentral describes it as "bacterial SSU rRNA". It matches the Rfam family "Bacterial small subunit ribosomal RNA", at positions 8 to 916 of the family's 1533-position model. The record is from RNAcentral. Lineage: Bacteria; Pseudomonadati; Acidobacteriota.
AGAGUUUGAUCCUGGCUCAGAAUGAACGCUGGCGGCGUGCUUAACACAUGCAAGUCGAACGAGGCGGAAGGGGGCAACUCCUUCCAGUCGAGUGGCGGACGGGUGAGUAACACGUGGGUAACCUGCCCGGAAGUGUGGAAUACCUCGGGGAAACUCGAGCUAAUACCGCAUGACAUCUUCGGGACGAAAGUCCUGACGAUCAAAGCGGGGUCGCAAGAUCUCGCGCUACCGGAUGGGCCCGCGCCCGAUUAGCUAGUUGGUGGGGUAACGGCUCACCAAGGCUUCGAUCGGUAACCGGCCUGAGAGGGCGAUCGGUCACACCGGAACUGAGACACGGUCCGGACUCCUACGGGAGGCAGCAGUGGGGAAUCUUGCGCAAUGGGCGAAAGCCUGACGCAGCAACGCCGCGUGGAGGAUGAAGGCCCUUGGGUUGUAAACUCCUGUCGGCUGGGAAGAAAUCGUUCGUGGCUCAUACCCACGGACGUUGACUGUACCAGCAAGGGAAGCCCCGGCUAACUCUGUGCCAGCAGCCGCGGUAAUACAGAGGGGGCUAGCGUUAUUCGGAAUUAUUGGGCGUAAAGGGCGCGUAGGCGGCCAUGCGUGUCUUCCGUGAAAUCCCUCGGCUUAACUGAGGACGUGCGGAAGAAACUGCAAGGCUCGAGUCCGGGAGAGGGGGGUGGAAUUCCCAGUGUAGCGGUGAAAUGCGUAGAUAUUGGGAGGAACACCGGUGGCGAAGGCGGCCCCCUGGACCGGUACUGACGCUGAGGCGCGAAAGCGUGGGUAGCAAACGGGAUUAGAUACCCCGGUAGUCCACGCCGUAAACGAUGGGCACUUGGUGUCGCGGGUAUCGACCCCUGCGGUGCCGAAGCUAACGCAUUAAGUGCCCCGCCUGGGGAGUACGGUCGCAAGGCUGAAACUCAAAGGAAUUGACGG